AUUAAAGAUUUUGGCGGUAUUUUAGUCCAUUCAGAGGAACCUGUCCUGUAAUUGAUAAUCCACGAUUUAAUUUACUUGUUUUUUUAGUUUGUAUAUCGUCGUGGGUUGAAUAUUUUAUAAGAAUUAUAAUGUUCAAUAAAUAUAAAUUUAUUUUAUGUCAGAUCAAGGUGCAGCUUAUGAAUAAGAAGAGAUGGGUUACAAUAAAUUAUUUUUGGUUUAUUAGCUUUAAUGUUUUUAGUAAAUUGGAUUUGAAUGUAAUAUUUUUAAAUUUAUAGAUGUGAUUUUGGCUCUAAAAUAUGCACAUAUUGCCCGUCGCUCUCAUUUAAUAUGAGAUAAGUCGUAACAAAGUAGAUGUACUGGAAAGUGUAUCUAGAAAGAU
Molecule: ribosomal RNA, 379 nt
Filed under: Melanotus okinawensis
Lineage: Eukaryota; Metazoa; Arthropoda; Insecta; Coleoptera; Elateridae
Description: partial small subunit ribosomal RNA
Source: RNAcentral